UAGCAUAUCAAUAAGCGGAGGAAAAGAAACCAACAGGGAUUGCCUCAGUAACGGCGAGUGAAGCGGCAACAGCUCAAAUUUGAAAUCUGGUGCGAGGCCCUCUUGCGCCCGAGUUGUAAUUUGUAGAGGGUGCUUUGGCGUUGGCCCCCGCCCAAGUUCCUUAGAACAGGACGUCAUAGAGGGUGAGAACCCCGUACAUGGCCGGACGGCCUUCGCCUUGUAAAGCCCCUUCGACGAGUCGAGUUGUUUGGGAAUGCAGCUCUAAAUGGGAGGUAAAUUUCUUCUAAGGCUAAAUACCGGCUGGAGACCGAUAGCGCACAAGUAGAGUGAUCGAAAGAUGAAAAGCACUUUGGAAAGAGAGUGAAAAAGCACGUGAAAUUGUUGAAAGGGAAGCGCUUGCAGCCAGACUCGCCCGCGGUUGCUCACCCGGCGCUCCUGCCCGGUGCACUCUUCUGCGGGCGGGCCAGCAUCGGUUUGGGCGGUCGGACAAAGGCCCUGGGAACGUGGCUCCCCACGGGGAGUGUUAUAGCCCAGGGCGUCAUGCGGCCAGCCCGGACCGAGGCCCGCGCAUUUCGCUAGGAUGCUGGCGUAAUGGCUGUAAGCGGCCCGUCUUGAAACACGGACCAAGGAGUCUAACAUCUGUGCGAGUGUUUGGGUGUCAAGCCCUGGCGCGCAAUAAAAGUGAACGGAGGUGGGACCCCCUCGGGGCGCACCAUCGACCGAUCCUGAUGUCUUCGGAUGGAUUUGAGUAAGAGCAUAGCUGUUGGGACCCGAAAGAUGGUGAACUAUGCCUGAAUAGGGUGAAGCCAGAGGAAACUCUGGUGGAGGCUCGCAGCGGUUCUGACGUGCAAAUCGAUCGUCAAAUUUGGGCAUAGGGGCGAAAGACUAAUCG
This 892-nucleotide ribosomal RNA is filed under the name Pseudoastrosphaeriella bambusae. RNAcentral's name for it is "partial large subunit ribosomal RNA". It matches the Rfam family "Eukaryotic large subunit ribosomal RNA", at positions 36 to 937 of the family's 3401-position model. The record is from RNAcentral. Lineage: Eukaryota; Fungi; Ascomycota; Dothideomycetes; Pleosporales; Pseudoastrosphaeriellaceae.